This 279-nucleotide ribosomal RNA is filed under the name uncultured bacterium. Its description in RNAcentral is "partial 16S ribosomal RNA". It matches the Rfam family "Bacterial small subunit ribosomal RNA", at positions 506 to 784 of the family's 1533-position model. The record is from RNAcentral.
UGCCAGCAGCCGCGGUAAUACGGAGGGUGCGAACGUUGCUCGGAAUCAUUGGGCGUAAAGCGCACGUAGGCGGCUUUGCAAGUUGGAUGUGAAAGCCCUGGGCUCAACCCAGGAAGUGCAUCCAAAACUGCAUGGCUCGAGUACCGAAGGGGGCCAGAGAAUUCCCGGUGUAGAGGUGAAAUUCGUAGAUAUCGGGAGGAAUACCAGUGGCGAAGGCGCUGGCCUGGUCGGAAACUGACGCUGAGGUGCGAUAGCGUGGGGAGCAAACAGGAUUAGAUA